UAUAAGGGAUUUUGACAUUUUGCUUGCACUGUUUGACCACCCGUCUUAUUUAAAAAUUUUGUGCAAAUAUAAAAAAUAAAAAGUUGUGCUUAAAGUACUUUGGAUAAUAAAGUAAGUCACAAAUAAAAUAAAUAAUAAUUUCAAAUUUUUUUUGAAUAAGACGGGUGGUCAAACAGUGCAAGCAAAAUGUCAAAAUCCCUUAUA
This 204-nucleotide microRNA precursor is filed under the name Oryza rufipogon (brownbeard rice). Its description in RNAcentral is "MIR812 microRNA precursor family". It matches the Rfam family "MIR812 microRNA precursor family". Lineage: Eukaryota; Viridiplantae; Streptophyta; Magnoliopsida; Poales; Poaceae. The record is from Rfam by way of RNAcentral.